This 706-nucleotide long non-coding RNA is filed under the name Brachypodium distachyon (stiff brome). RNAcentral's name for it is "long non-coding RNA (BDIS_LNC005092)". Lineage: Eukaryota; Viridiplantae; Streptophyta; Magnoliopsida; Poales; Poaceae. The record is from RNAcentral.
GGGCGGACGGCCGCGGCCGCGCUUGGGUGCCUUUGCCUUCGGUGCCCGGGGUGGGGGAGGGGGCGCGUUAGGGUCCUUGGGCUUUGGUGGGCGGCCGCGGCCCCGCUUGGGCGCGUUUGGGUCCCGGGCCGGGGGAGCGGGGGGAGGCGGCGCGUUUGGGUCCUUGGGCUUGGGCGGGCGGCCGCGGCCCCGCUUGGGCGGUGCUGGAGCGUCGGAGGUGGGGCGGACGUAGUUGUUCUUGUCGAAGAGGAGCUUGCCGCUCUCCUUCAUGCUGGCGAGGUUCGCGGUGAGGAGGGAGGCGUGCGCUGAGGGGAGUUCCUUGUACUUCUCCUCGAUGAAGCUCGAGAUCGCCGUCUUGUUGGCGCCGUUCUUGUCGUCCAGCGCGUCAAUCGCCUCCAGAAUCAUCUGCAUGCCGGAGAAAAGGAGACACUGAGCUCGCGACCAGCAAAGGAAAGAAGCGCCGAAGGACGAAAUACACCGUGGAUGAAUCUACGGCGCGGAAGCAAAGCACGACGACCAGAAGAAACUUACAUCUGGGUAGGUCGGGAGGGCGUCGGACUUGGGGGCCUCCUCGUCGGCCAUGGCUACAGGCCGCAGCGGUGGGUCUGAGCUCCAAGUUACAGUACAAGCGUAGAGGAUACAGCUAAGGGCGAACUUCGGGGAGAGAAGGGGAAAAUUUUCGGGAUUUGGAUCGGGGGAGGGGAGG